This 74-nucleotide transfer RNA is filed under the name Schistocerca americana (American grasshopper). Its description in RNAcentral is "tRNA-Arg". It matches the Rfam family "tRNA". Rfam says of the family: Transfer RNA (tRNA) molecules are approximately 80 nucleotides in length. The record is from RNAcentral. Lineage: Eukaryota; Metazoa; Arthropoda; Insecta; Orthoptera; Acrididae.
GCUUUCGAUGGCUCAGAUGGAAGAGCGUCUGCCUUCUAAGCAGGAGAUCCCAGGUUCGAGUCCCGGUCGGGGUA